This 470-nucleotide ribosomal RNA is filed under the name uncultured marine eukaryote. Its description in RNAcentral is "SSU rRNA". It matches the Rfam family "Eukaryotic small subunit ribosomal RNA", at positions 93 to 564 of the family's 1831-position model. The record is from RNAcentral.
AAGGCUCAUUAAAACAGUUAUAGUUUAUUUGGUGGUCAGCAAUUACAUGGAUAACCGUGGUAAUUCUAGAGCUAAUACAUGCGCCCAAACCCGACUUCGUGGAAGGGUUGUGUUUAUUAGAUACAGAACCAACCCAGGCUCCGCCUGGCCUUGAGGUGAUUCAUAAUAACCGAACGAAUCGCAUGGCUAUGCCGGCGAUAGACCAUUCAAGUUUCUGACCUAUCAGCUAUCGUCGGUAGGGUAUUGGCCUACCGUGGCAAUGACGGGUAACGGAGAAUUAGGGUUCGAUUCCGGAGAGGGAGCCUGAGAAACGGCUACCACAUCUAAGGAAGGCAGCAGGCGCGUAAAUUACCCAUUUCUGACACAGGGAGGUAGUGACAAGAAAUAACAUUAGAGGGCAUCCAUGUCUUCUAAAUGGAAUGAGUAGAAUUUAAACCCUUUUGCUAGUAUCAAUUGGAGGGCAAGUCUGG